AUGAACGCUGGCGGCGUGCCUAAUCCCUGCAAGUCGAGCGAACGGACGAGAAGCUUGCUUCUCUGAUGUUAGCGGCGGACGGGGGAGUAACACGUGGAUAACCUACCUAUAAGACUGGGAUAACUUCGGGAAACCGGAGCUAAUACCGGAUAAUAUUUUGAACCGCAUGGUUCAAAAGUGAAAGACGGUCUUGCUGUCACUUAUAGAUGGAUCCGCGCUGCAUUAGCUAGUUGGUAAGGUAACGGCUUACCAAGGCAACGAUGCAUAGCCGACCUGAGAGGGUGAUCGGCCACACUGGAACUGAGACACGGUCCAGACUCCUACGGGAGGCAGCAGUAGGGAAUCUUCCGCAAUGGGCGAAAGCCUGACGGAGCAACGCCGCGUGAGUGAUGAAGGUCUUCGGAUCGUAAAACUCUGUUAUUAGGGAAGAACAUAUGUGUAAGUAACUGUGCACAUCUUGACGGUACCUAAUCAGAAAGCCACGGCUAACUACGUG
RNAcentral lists this ribosomal RNA (496 nucleotides) under uncultured bacterium. RNAcentral's name for it is "partial 16S ribosomal RNA". It matches the Rfam family "Bacterial small subunit ribosomal RNA", at positions 29 to 507 of the family's 1533-position model. The record is from RNAcentral.